CAACGUGGGUAACCUGCCCUGAUGAUUGGGACAACCCGAGGAAACUCGGGCUAAUACCGAAUGUGCCCUCCGGCCAUAAGGCCACUGGGGAAAGGAAGCUUCGGCCUCCGCAUCGGGAUGGGCCCGCGGCCCAUUAGCUUGUUGGUGAGGUAACGGCUCACCAAGGCAAUGAUGGGUAGCUGGUCUGAGAGGACGAUCAGCCACACUGGGACUGAGACACGGCCCAG
Molecule: ribosomal RNA, 227 nt
Filed under: uncultured bacterium
Lineage: Bacteria
Description: partial 16S ribosomal RNA
Rfam family: Bacterial small subunit ribosomal RNA
Source: RNAcentral